AUACAUGCUUCAUCAUGUACUAGAAAAUAAGGCACUAGUAACAUAUUGAUACACUCUUCUCAAUUUCUUUUUGUUUUUUUAAAAUAGAUAUUUCUAUUUUUAUUUUUGUUGCUAUCAUGAAAUGUAGGUUAUUUACUUUUUAACUUUGGGUAUAAAUAUACAAAAGGAAAUCUAUAAGUUGUACCUAAUCUUACAGAACUGUAAUUUAACUAAUACAUCAUUAUUGGGAUUGUCUUAAUUUUCUGUUUUUUUUCCUUUCUCUGUUUGAGAACAAGGCUAAAGGUCAUUCUGUCCAUGAUCUUGCUGAGAUAGUUGCCCACCUAUCUUCAUACUUGAAGCAUGCUUGACCUAAGUCACAUGGAAAAAAAUCAGGACAAUAAACCUGGAUUCUAACACUUCCUCAGUCCAAUAAAAAAUGAGAGCUUCUCUAAUUGGCUCUAUCAUGUUACUCUGCAUGCCAAUAAAGUUUCUGCUUUCCCUUUUGAUUAGUUACAGAAAAUAAUAAAGUUUCUGCUUUCCCUUUUGAUUAGUUACAGAAAAUAAUAAAGUUUCUGCUUUCCCUUUUGAUUAGUUACAGCUAAACACGUACCACAACUACCAUGGAUUUAGAAAACCAUUAGGAUUGGAGAGGUGGCAGAGCUGCCUCCUUCAAUAUUAUUCCCAGCAGCACUGGUGCUGCAAAGGUAUUAAAAGGACCUGUAUCCAUGGAUUCAAAACCAAUCUUUUGGGUUGUCAUGAGCCACAUUCAGUUGAUGCACUACAGCCGAAUCUAUGAUUCUGUCUUCUCUAGUUGAUUUUCUUUGCUGGGAAAGGCAAAGGAAUUAUUCUGCAAAUACCACAUUCUAAUAGAAUGGAUGUAGAGCAUAUGGAAGGGUGGGAUUUAAUUAUAUUGUUGAUCAAAAUAUAAAUGUCUUUCUUCUUAUAAAGAUUAAUAUUUUUUUCCAACAACCAAGGGUGUUUGAUUUUUCUUUUUUCCUUAAUUCAUAUCAAUUCCAGUUGAAAGGCACGAUGAGUACAGAAGAAACUCAAAUUUUAUAAAGGAAUUCAUUUUCCUUGGUGGAUGUUUUCCUUCAUUCAUUAGAGUAACAAUGGCCAUACUGUUGCAUCAAGACACUGGUAAAAGCUAAUACAAUGGUUUGGAAUUAAUCAUUUUUCUUCCACUUUCUGAAAAAAUUAAUCUAAGAGAGUUGUGUAAAUGCAGUGUGGAGCAUCUGGAAAACAUAAGAAUACAUUAUCACCAGACACUCAAACGUUGGAGGAAAAAUUUCUUGGACAAUGAGAGGUAAGAAGCAUAAACUCUGCACCAAAAGAUGUAUUAUGUGCAGCAACUAGUUGAAUCAAGAAGUCUUCCUCUUCCAGUAAACAGGUUUUUUUGGAUAUAUAUUUCCAAACUGAAAUAUUUGAUUAAAAGGAUUUUGAGCACAUGCCCUUGGAAGAAGACAAAUCAAAACCUAGCAUCAGACAUUAUUUUCAAGUUAUUUCAUAUUUAUAGCUUGUUGGGUAUUAUAAAUGAAAAUGGUUUUGCCAGAAACAUUUUUGUUUCCAAAAAGGGAAAUGUUGGAGCAGUUGAAACUAAUUCUGGGGGCAACUUUUGUGUGUUGCGCAGAAAAAUUAUAGAGCUUGGAGUUUACUUUAUAUAUAAAUUUUAUGUUUUUCAGUUUUUGCAUGUCAGAUAAGAAUUGAUCUGAUUUAAUUAUUUUUUAGGAGGGUUGUUUCCAUUCUAUGAGCUUCCUAUGUACAUUUCAUAUAUCCUUAAUAUGGCGGGGUGUGAUUAUUUUAUUGAUCAAAGAGAGACAGUAGGUAUGCACAUAUUAAGGUAUACGUAAACUUUAUCAAGUUGAUGCUGUUGAUUUUCUCUACUUCUUUCCAGAAACUAAUACCAAAUUAUAGCUUGAUCCUUAUCUACAAACUAGUAGAUCAAGGCUGGACCUUACUGUGUCUAGACUGAAAGUUUUCAGACACACUUUUAUUAUAGAUCAAGCUAAUGUUGUUUCAACUCUCACUUCUCACAGCUUGUCUUUGUUCCUCACACUCUUUGAAGAUUCUAUUUAAAUGUCACAUGGAAUUUGUGAAACUUGGCAUUUAAAAGUGUGGUAAAUAAUCCCAUUCUUCAUGAUGUAGGCAUUGAAUUAAAAUCAUUUCAUGCAUUGGAACAAGUGUUUUAGAAAAACUGAGAUACAAGGUUGGAAUUAUUUUUCAUUUCUUUAAUACAUUGAGAAAAUUGAGUAUGAUAUCAAGGUUGGAAUUAUUGAGUAUGAAAGCAUUUAAUCAUUUCAAUUUUUCUUUACUAGAACCUCUUUUGAUUGAUCUCGGUCCCUUUGAUGGUGUCUUGCAAGAGAAUGGUAUCAUCUAUUGUCCUCAAGUAUUGUUAUUAGAUUAUUCCAUAUCAUCUAAUCGAAAACUAUGAAAAUUCUUACAAUAGAUGACUGAGAAAAUCACAUUGUCUAGUUAGAUGAGCAUUUAGAUAUUUAUUACAUAGGUUACACAUGUGAGGCUUAUUAUAAUUAAAUAUAAGAUCUAUGGUUUUUUACUUGUUCUGACUGAUUCCACUUUCUUGGAUGGUGCUUUGUAGGAGAAUGGUUUUUAUGCUGAGUUUGGUCUUGAUGUUUCUUAAGAUGCAAUAAUUGAUUUUGCUUCCUAAAGGGCAGAGAUUGAAAUUGUUUAUGGUGUUUCUGUGGAGAAGAGCUUGAUUGGCCACUGUGCACCUUUGUUGUCGAUGCUUUGUAGAAAUUUUGGUUUGAUGCAAGAGGUGUAGCUCUCCCUCUUCACUUCUCAUAGCUAUGUCUAAGUUCCUCACAUUAUUUGAAGAUUUUGUUUAAACUCCACAUGGAAUUUACAAACCUUGACAUUUGAAUGUGUGGUAAGUAAUCUCAUCCUUCAUGAUGGAGGUAUUGAGCUAAAACCUUUUAGCCUGACAUUGGCAUUGGUUUUGGAAGUUUAGACUAGAUUUUUUCUUAAAAUUCAACAAAAUUCAUUUAUAAGGUGAAAAUAGUUUUUUUUCCCACUAUUUUUGAAAUUUAAAUUUCCUUUGAAUUUUAAUAUUUUAUUAUGCUUUUGGGAACAUAUGUUAUUUUGUGAAUUGGAGUGUUGGAUAUUUUUAUAUGCAUAUAUGCUAUUCUUUUGUAUAUGUUAGAUGAAGGGAAUAUAUUUCAUAUUAACGUACCAUUCACUAAAAAUCACUGGUGUUGUCAUUAUGGUAUUUUACAUUAUUACUAUGGAUGCGAUUGUAAUUUACCCUAGACCUAUAUCGUGCCGUAGAAAUGGAGGGGUGCACUGUAGCCAAUUAACCUAGUAAUCUUUUAUGCCAAGAGAUAAAGGGGCACUAGAGCAGUUUGUAUGAGAAGUGUGUCGAGAGAUGUAGGGAUAUUGUGUCUAUAAGGCACCAUGAUAUUUGAGACAUAUGUCGCCUGCGGUUGCAUAUGUGAUACAUGCUGAUGAAGGAAAGGGCAUUGUAGCAGUUAUAUUGCAUAUGUGUCGAGAGUUGGAGUGACAUUGUAGCCAUGGAUUAUGCAUGUGUUUGAUUGAUUAUACAUCGGGUAGUCCAAUGUUGCAUGUCUACUUGAUUGUUAUACCAUAUAUUAUCUACGUUGAGUGUUACCUACAUGAUAAAACUCCUCUUUCUACUUUGGACUGACCACACUACAACCUGUAUUAUAUGAUCAUUCACUGAGUUAUUCACUUUGUAGUUCCCUAAAUUUUUUAGAUGAGGACCUAGUAGAACCAAAUACCAAGCAAGGUAUGGAGGAUAGUCAACAAGGCAUAUAAAUGUUGUUGUCGUUUCCUUUUGCUUCUUUUUGGAUAGACUACUGGCAUGUAGCCAUUUUCUUAGGUAUGUACAAGUUUUCGAUCCCUUAAGACCAGCUUUUAUGUAUGCAAAACUGUUUAUCUCGGACAUAGUAAUGAAUUUAUAGUUCCUUUAAUAUGCAUCCUUGUAUUGCUUUGACAUAGUAUAUCUUGUCACAAGUUAAUUUUCUUUCAUAGGAUAGUAUCUACAUCUCAGUCUUCAGACUAGGGAAGAGACGUUGUCUUGCGUGGAUGGCGCUUGCAAGGGUGGGUCGUCACAUUUUUUGUACAUAUUAACCAUAUUUUGUGGUUUUAAUCUGUUUUUCUUCUUACUCAAACUUGUAUGAGUAUCAUUUAAUAUCUUUGAUGCAGUGUUUUUCUAUGUUGAAGAGCAAGAUGCAUUUGAUGUGUAUUCCAUAAUCAAUGGCUUCUCUAGUCUUACCCUUUCUUGUAAAAUGUAAAGUAGAUGUUGUAUAGUCUUAGGUCCAAUCUCAGUGUUCUUCCAAAUCUGAAUUCUCUUUUUUGAGUUUCUAAUGAUCAUGUUGAUGAUGUACUAAUUCUUGAUCAGGUGGCCUUGCAUCGAAAUGCUUUUAAAAUCUAUACUUUUUUUUUCCCAACAACAACCCCAAGGUACUCUUCCAUUUUAUGUGCAUGUGUGUCAUAUUGGGAAGUUGCUACUAAUUUAUGAAAGUGUUCUUGUAAUGGAUUUAGGCAGUACUAGUUGUAAGAAGAAACAACCUAUACACUCUUGGAAUUGGAAACAACAGAGGGGUUAACUCCAUGAGACCAUAUGCAAAUUACUUAUUUUUUGUUGUAAAUCAAGUUGGGUGAGUAGUUGGAUUUGUUUUAAUUUUAUUUUGCAUGUUUAUCUUUGUAGGUUUAAUUUACAUCUCUUGUACACUAUGGUUAAGAACACAAUACUGUUAAAAGAUUGAAAGACAAAAGAUGCUCUCUGUGAUUUAAUGGGGACAUGUGCUACCAAAUACCACUAUAUGGUGCAAUCAUGUGUUGUUGGUAGUUUGGUUGGUUCUCCUAUCAUAGAGGUUGGAAGGACAAACCGAAAAGACUAUGUGAAGGACAAAGUUGGGGCUAUAAAUAUCAGACGUUGCUUUCUUGUGGAGCUCGUUGAUAGAUUUGCAAAGUUGAUUUUAGCCAACACAGGUUGUCCUGUAUUUUCUUAGGACUAGUCCACUUAUGAAGCCGUGGAGAAUGUGUUUGUUACCAUAUAUAUCAAGAAAAGUUUGUUUUCUUUAAUUAUCCUACAAAUUCAUGGCAUCUAAACAAGUGGGGUAAAUCUUUUGGUUCAUGAUUUAUAUUCAGUUUUCUUAUCAAUGGUGUUUUUUCCCAUCAACAAUUGAUAAAACCCUCAAAUAUUCUCAACCAUGAGAAAUGGGAAGAAAAGCAAAAAUAAAAAAUUAAAAUUAAUAAUCAAUUGAACAUUUGAGUAAUCCAUUGUUUUUUUUAUAUUAUUUUUUAAUAAUUUUUAUUUGAUACCUGGUGAACAAACUCUCUCUUGUGCAUCAAAUUCAACUAUUCUGUGUAUUUGAGUUAAGUUUUCACUUUCCAAGUUAGAUUCAAAUAUCUAUUUUAUUCUCAUUAGUCAUUUUUCUAAGUAAAGAUAUUGACAUUAGUUAUUUUGCAUAUUUUAACCAUUUUUUUUUUUUUAGGAUUUUAAUAUUUUUUUCUUUUUAUGCAAAUAGAUGUAUUAUUUGAUCUCUCUUGGAAAGAGUUUUUCUGUCUCGAAGAGUAAGACGUGUUUGAUCAUGUAUGUUCAUUAAUCAAAGGUUUCUCUAGUCUCACAUUAUCUUGUAAAUUAAAUCUUGGGGAGAGUCCUAGGCCCAAUCUGAGCGUUCUUCCAAAGGUGGAUUCUCCAUCUCGAGUUACUUACGAUUUGUUGAUAAUGUACUGAUCCUUGAUUGGGUAGCCUCACAUUGGAUUGCUUUUAAAACCUAUACUUUUUUGCUUCUCAAUAUUGUCCUCAUUCUGGGGUCUAAUAUUGGUUUCAACAACUCCAAGGUUGCUUGAACUGCAUGCUUGGAUCGGAUGCAUUACUCUUACAAGUUUUCUAAAGAGCGAAAGAAAAACCUAUUGUCUAAUAAUGAGACCCUGAUAUUUGGCAUUCUGAAAAGCUUAAUCACCCGUUUUUGGCUGUUAGAUAACUUAUGGUAUGCGGUUACUGAUAAUGUUAUUGAUUUUAUUUAUGCAAUUCAUCCAACUAUUGAAACCUUAGUUGUUGACUUGAAGAAAAUGUCUCUUAGUUGCAAAAUUACAUUGAAAGUGGUAUCAUGCGUCCUUUCAACUAUUCUUGUAACAAAACUUAGUAGAUAUUUAUUCAUUAUGUUCCAUGUUGCUAUUAACCAAUUGACGCAUAUGGUGUCAUGUAUCCAAAUAGAAAUCUUAAUUGACAGUUUUGGCUGCCAGGAAACAUGAUGGUAUGCUGCUGCUGAUAAUGUUAUUGUUGCUAUCUAUGCUACUCAUCCAACUCCUAUGGAGAAAUAUGGAAGUUGUGGUUGAAAAGGUUUGCAAUAGGUUUGGUGGAGUCACAUGUAUUGUUUAUACUAUUGUUUUAAUUAUAUUUUCAUCUAUCAUGUGCUAAUAUGACAACUUAUUACCAUGUCAGGUUUUAAUGCAUGACUUCAUUAUAAGAUAUAAUGUCAUGGCACCUACGCUUGGACUAGUCUCUUAUUUACCCAUAUUGGAGACAUACUUCAUUAAUAACCUAGCAAGGUAUUAAGUUGUUCUUGCAUUACCUCAUUUACAGUUUAUUUUUUUAUUAAUUGGUGUAUUUUUUUCACACUAAUGAAAACCAGAGUAAAAUUUUGAAACAAAUAAACAAAAUACUCUUAGUCAUGACUCUUUUUCUCUCUAAUUUUGAAACGAUCUUAAAAAACAAAAUUUAAAAAUUACCAUGUGUCCCAGUUUAAAAAAACAUAUCUAAAUAGGCCUUGAAAAUAAAUAAACUAGGACAAAUGAAAUUAAUUAUUGGGACAUGAAAAUAUUAUAUAAAUUCUGGUUAAAUGAAGCCGAUGAUCUGAUAUAGAUAUACCAUUCUCAUUCUUUAGUCCUGAGACUUUCCUUUCUUUCACCUCUUUUCUUCUCCUCUUCUCUUUUAUGUACCUUAUUGUCGUCACGAUCUCACCUUCUCGUUCCAAACAAAAACAAAUUUUUUCCCUUGGUAGCAUAGAAAGUGAAAGAAACUGGAGGUAGGAAGACGAGGCUUUUGUGUCUCAUCUAUGGUGGCGUCUCCCAGAAGUGGAAUCUAGGGCGCAGCAGAAAGAAGGGGAAGUGAAAGGCGGAGGACUUUUGAGUUUUAUUGGCCGAGAGGCUAGGGCACGAUGUGAUUUGGUUCGAUCUUGGUGUGGAAGCUCGGGGAAUCAGCUUAGUGCGUAGUGGUUUUGUGGUUGUGGGAUUUUGGAAACCUUAGAUUUGGGUUAGGGUUGUGUGGUUGGCUGAUUAAGCUAGGGGCGGGGCUGCCCAUGCGAUUGACUGGGUUUUCAUGCCGUCAAAACCACUUCCUUGGGAUCAGGACUUCUUCAAGGAGAGGAGAGGAAGCACGAGAGGUCGGAGUCUUUAAGUUUGUUGCAAGAUAGAGGACUCGCAUCAGGGUUCUUGGAAGUUUGCUCGUCGGAAUAGGCAGACUUGCGCCGUCCUACAGGUAAGUUGAAUCCCACCGGUUUCUUGAUGAUGUCGGUUUUGCUUUAAACCAAGAAAAAUAGUCGGGUUCUUGGAAAAUUUGGUCUCCGAGCCCUUUUGUUUUUUAUGAUUUGUUCCUUUUUGGUUUUUAAUUUUGAAUUUAUUCUCUCCACGGAAGAAGCACGAGAGGUCGGAGUCUUUAGGUUUGCUGCAAGAUAAAGAAACUCGCAUCAGGUUCUUGGGAGUUUGCUCGCCGGGAUCGGUAGACUUUCGGUCCCCUAUAGGUGAGUUAUGAACUCAGGUUCUUGAUGAUUGUGAUGAAAUUCGUAGGUUUUGGUUUAAACCAAGAAUAAUAAUAGGGUUCUUAGAAAAUUUAGUCCGAGUCCUUUUGUUUUAUUUAUUUUUAUUUUUUAUGAUUUGUUCUUUUUUGGUUUUUAAUUUUUAAUUUAUUCUUUCCACGGGUCUGAUUUUUUAUUUUGGGGAAUUAGUUUUUGAUGAUGAUUCUUUCAUGGUUAUUGUAGAUUUGUGUUUUUUAGUCCAUUCGUUUGUUAAUGUGCUGUUUAGUUGUGCAGAAAUUGUAAUUAAAAAAACAGAUUGUUUUUUAUCUUUUUAAGUCAAAUAAAACUACCUGUAAGAAAGUUCUAGGUUUUGAAUUUUUGAAGUUUCAUCGUGUUCUUUGGUAUUUUGAUUUUUACCAUGAACUUUUCUUACCUAUCAAAAAAAAAAAAAAAAGCUGGGCUAGAAAUUCAUAGACAUCAACUUGCUCAAAUCCAUGAUAGAAAACCCUAUCAAAGCUAAAGGUGAAAAUCCUCUCCCUUCUCAUCCUACCAUUCAUCAAUUCAAUUAUUAUAAUGAUUUUUUUCAUGAAUAAAUGAACAGAAACAAAUAAGUAGCAAUUUUUAGUGAAAGAUAACCUUGAAAAUGGAAGUUUCUGAAUCUAGGCUUUGGACAAAAAAUGUAUCACCAUGAUCUUUUCUCUCUUUUGAACUUAAAGGUCUAAAACAUGCAUAGACUGUUAUGUGCGACAUAAUUUUAUGGUGCCAAAAACCUUUAUCUUCCAAGAAUUAGUGCAUAACUAUCAUGAAAUUCAGCAAAAUAGAGUAUGACUUAAUCCACCUGAAAAUUCUAGAACUAGAGCUUUGUUUUGUCAUUGAGGCAUUUUCUAAUUCAUUACUGAAAAUUUUACAUUAUUAUUUAUUAGCACAGUAGCAACUAUCACACAAACUUGUAUUUGUCACUUAGAAGGUUUGAAACCUCUAAUUGGUGAUACACUCCUUGUUGCAGGGACACUUUUCUUUGCCAUGAGCAAUGUUGGUGAGGUGGGUAAAUAUCAAUACACUUGAAUAUGAUUGUCACAUCAUUUGGGGGCUUUUGACUCUGGAAGAUUUCUGAUUAAUGUCAUUAAAUUUUUUCUUUUUCUUUUGAAACAAUAUGCCCCUCGAAGACUUGCUUUGAAUAAAUAAGAUUUUAACUUGUUUAGCAUUGUCUAUUGUUGUCUUAUUGCAUUAGAGAGAAGAAAAAAUUACACCUUGAUUCCUUUAUUCUCCUUUACAAUUCUAUCUAGUUAACAUCCUAAACAAUUUAUCAUCUUUGAAAACUUGAAGACCUUCUACUUCUAGCUUUAUCUUGCAGAAGGACAAUGAUUCCUGAUCUAUCUGAAUGAGGUUUAACACCAAGAACCAGAUUAGGCCUUGGACAACUCAGAUGGAAAUUAAAUCUUGUCUGCAUCACUGCUCCAUCUCCAAAUUGACUUGAGCUUUUCUUAUUUACUGACAUUCUAUUUUUGUACAGAUUUAUAUACACUGGAUCUGUAGAAAUUAUAUUGGAUAUUGCACAAGAUCUCCUCAUAGCUACUGAUCAGUAUCUGUUGCAGGGAUAAAGCGUCCCUGUGAGUGUACCAUUGCCCAUGUGAGUUAAGGAGCUCGAUUUUUUGGAUAUGAAUUCCUUUACUGCUUUGAAUCAGAUUGUGGACACCUGGUGACUCUUUUAUUUUUAUUUUCAAGGAUAUAUCACUGGAAAAUGUUUCAAGAAUGCAUGAGCUUUCAGAAGCCUUCCAUGCUAUUUCCUUAAGACACACAUGCCUCAUGUCUAUCUUGGAGCAGUUUAGUAAACUGAGUUCUAGGGCAGGGUAUGUGAUGCUCUCUCUCUCUCUCUCUCUCUCUCUCUCUCUCUCAAUCUAUUUAUAUCUGCCAUUUCUACUAAUAGCUUACUAAGGAAGAAGUUGGAAAUACUUUUGGAGUUGUAGGAAGUCUCAAUGGAGGCAAUUGCCUGGUUGUCCACUCUAAAUGAAUAGCCAACUAACCGAAGCAAAAGGAGGAUAGCGCAAUGCAAGAAAAAAAAAAAACUAUUUUUAAGUUCAUUGGUCAUUUUAGCUCAACAUUGGUCUAUCACUGGUAGAAACAUGCCUCCGAAAAUCAUGAUUUUCCAUUGUUAAAAAAAGCCUAACCCACAUAAUUCGAGGCUAUAAUACAACUGACAUUUGAUUCUUGAUCUCUAGCUAAAUAUAUUGUAUAGAAAGUGGUAGAAAAUAAGGCUGCAGGUUGCUUUCAGAAAAUUGGCUGCAAGUUAUACAUGCUUCAUCAUGUACUAGAAAAAUAAGGCACUAGUAACAUAUUGAUACACUCUGCUCAAUUUCUUUUUGUUUUUUUUAAAUAGAUACUUCUAUUUUUAUUUUUGUUGUUAUCAUGAAAUGUAGGUUAUUUACUUUUUAACUUUGGGUAUAAAUAUACAAAAGGAAAUCUAUAAGUUGUACCUAAUCUUACAGAACUGUAAUUUAACUAAUACAUCAUUAUUGGGAUUGUCUUAAUUUUCUGUUUUUUUUCCUUUCUCUGUUUGAGAACAAGGCUGAAGGUCAUUCUGUCCAUGAUCUUGCUGAGAUAGUUGGCCACCUAUCUUCAUACUUGAAGCAUGCUUGACCUAAGUCAUCUGGAAAAAAAUCAGGACAAUAAACCUGGAUUCUAACACUUCCUCAGUCCAAUAAAAAAUGAGAGCUUCUCUAAUUGGCUCUAUCAUGUUACUCUGCAUGCCAAUAAAGUUUCUGCUUUCCCUUUUGAUUAGUUACACAAAAA
This 10484-nucleotide long non-coding RNA is filed under the name Vitis vinifera (wine grape). Its description in RNAcentral is "long non-coding RNA (VVIN_LNC007331)". The record is from RNAcentral. Lineage: Eukaryota; Viridiplantae; Streptophyta; Magnoliopsida; Vitales; Vitaceae.